AGAAAUUUAGGUUAAACAGACCAAGGACCUUCAAAGUCCUAAGCAAGUGUCCCCACUUAAUUUCUG
This 66-nucleotide transfer RNA is filed under the name Galeopterus variegatus (Sunda flying lemur). RNAcentral describes it as "tRNA-Trp". The record is from RNAcentral. Lineage: Eukaryota; Metazoa; Chordata; Mammalia; Dermoptera; Cynocephalidae.